CUUUUAGAGGGUAGUGGCGCACGGGUGCGUAACGCGUGGGAACCUGCCCUUAGGUUCGGAAUAACUCAUGAGAAAUUUGACCUAAUACCGGAUAAUGUCUUCGGACCAAAGUAUUUAUCGCCUUUGGAUGGGCCCGCGUAGGAUUAGAUAGUUGGUGGGGUAAUGGCCUACCAAGUCUACUAUCCUUAGCUGGUCUGAGAGGAUGAUCAGCCACACUGGGACUGAGACACGGCCCACACUCCUACGGGAGGCAACACUGGGGAAUAUUGGACAAUGGGCGAAAGCCUGAUCCAUCAAUGCCGCGUGAGUGAUGAAGGCCUUAGGGUUGUAAAGCUCUUUUACCAGGGAUGAUAAUGACAGUACCUGGAGAAUAAGCUCCGGCUAACUCCGUGCCAGCAGCCGAGGUCAUACGGAGGGAGCUAGCGUUGUUCGGAAUUACUGGGCGUAAAGCGCACGUAGGCGGCUUUUCAGGUCAGGGGUGAAAUCCCGGGGCUCAACCCCGGAACUGCCCUUGAAACUGGAUGGCUAGAAUACUGGAGAGGUGAGUGGAAUUCCGAGUGUAGAGGUGAAAUUCGUAGAUNUUCGGAAGAACACC
RNAcentral lists this ribosomal RNA (595 nucleotides) under bacterium Pv96. Its description in RNAcentral is "bacterial SSU rRNA". It matches the Rfam family "Bacterial small subunit ribosomal RNA", at positions 82 to 710 of the family's 1533-position model. The record is from RNAcentral.